RNAcentral lists this long non-coding RNA (979 nucleotides) under Medicago truncatula (barrel medic). RNAcentral's name for it is "long non-coding RNA (MTRU_LNC000110)". The record is from RNAcentral. Lineage: Eukaryota; Viridiplantae; Streptophyta; Magnoliopsida; Fabales; Fabaceae.
GCACAAUAAAAAAAAAAUAUUGAUAUCACAUAGACUUGUUGAGUAUCAAAGUAUUUCGCUAAGUUGUAUAGCUAGGAAAGAUUGAAUGUUUUGAAGGUUUAAUGAUUUGGUUUCAGAAAAUCUGCAACUAUAAAAAGCGUUUUGAAAUUAUUAGAUUUCAUCACAAUAAAAGACAAACCAAAUCCCUAUUCUUUCUAUUGCUAUAGAAAAUCAAAGUUUGAAGGUGGGGUAAACUCAUGUGACUAACGUCCUUCUCAAUGCAUGUUUUCCACUACUUUUCCAUCAAGACUUUAACAAAUACAUGUUUUACACUAUUUUUCCAUAUUUUUUCAUAUUCUCUUGACCUUAACCUUUAAUUGGAAACUAGACCGACACCCAACCACUAAUAAGUUCCAAUGGCUUCUCCCGAAAGGAUUCCACGGACCAUGACAUAAGUGCGAACGAACCUAAGGAGAAACACCAAAGAAGCCCAUAACACAGAGCAAAGAUGAACAACCAACAAGUUAUGUGCCACAUGAACACACAGACUAAAGGUGAACAUCCAACAUGGUCCAUGACACAAACCUUCCAAGCACAAAUGGACGACUGAGAAGUAGAAGCCAAACCAUACAAACACAAUCGGGCCCCAAAGCCCACACCAUCAAACUCGAUCAGCACAUGAGUAGAUGCUACCAAGGUUUUUUACCAAGGAACCACUUGCACAAAGAAAGUUUCACCCUAUGCAUCAGAUGCUCGACGGAAAGAGAUCCACCAACAAAGAUUAUAUCAUUGGGUGAGCUUUCAGGUUCUUCUAUCUUGUCUACUCGACACUAGCUAUGGGUCAAACCUAACAAUAUAUGUCACACGUAACACAUUAGUAGAAAUAGAUUCAUGGCAAACCUAUUAAACUUGAUACAUAUUCAAAAAGGAAAAUGCUAUUUCCAGCGAAGGAAAUGAAUCAAGAAUUUUUUCAGACACAGCUGACAAGUUUCAAUUGCAU